RNAcentral lists this long non-coding RNA (937 nucleotides) under Felis catus (domestic cat). RNAcentral describes it as "lncRNA (ENSFCAG00000052981.1)". The record is from RNAcentral. Lineage: Eukaryota; Metazoa; Chordata; Mammalia; Carnivora; Felidae.
GUAUUUGCUGCCUGUGGGUUCUGAGAACCUUUCCAGCGCUUAGUGGAUGGCACUCCUCGCCCCCGCCCUGUGCAGACCCAUUUGAAGAGCACUCCAUCACAGCCAACAAUUAUCUAAAUUGAAGUUGUCCAUCCUGCCUUUUAAGUUCUUCUCCAGAUAAUGAACCUUUUCAACCAACACAGGGUGCUUGAUGUUAAUCACACAGAGAAAUGCAAACUCAAUCUAUUCACCUUCGAAGGAGAUAGAGCCUAAAAGGUCUCAGUGGUUGGGGGUUGAGUUGGAUGGCCCAGCCAAGAGAUGCUCACUUCUGCUGGGGUUUGGAUACCUGUGCUCUCCCUUGGGCCUCUCUGUGAUGCACCAGGAUCCUAAGCCUGUGAGCCGACCCAUCUCUCCCUGUCAUGAUGACCUUCGUGCCUGGAUGGAGCUGAUACAUUGCACCUGCUGGGAACAGGCACAGCUGGGCCUGGGCUGUGAGUACCCAGACCAAAGGCCAACAACAGGCAAAGUGACAGCACCUGCAGCUACUCACCGCUUGCUGUUCUGGGCUCAGCUGGGUGAGGAUCUCCCAGAAGAAGGAGGGAUGAGCAGAGUGGAGAGAGCAACCAAUGAGAGCCCGUAUGUGACUGUGGACCUGCACAUACCUCUCAGAGCUCACCACUGCCUGCCGCAGAGCCAGCUCACCUUGAUGCCCACCUUUGGCACCUACAGCUGUUUCCUCCUGGGGCCCAGACUCGAGACACUGCACUUCCUGCAGCCCCCAAGCCUUUGCCUUCUCUGCAUCAGAUUCUUACCUACCAAAGAUAAAACAGAGGACAGCAAGCAAAACACUUCCUUUUGUUUAUUUUCCCCUUUAUUUCCAAAACCUUAUUCUUACUUGGUCAAACUCCCGUUCCUGACUCAAAGAAAGGAGGGGACUAACUUCUUUUACCAGGGGUAG